AUCCAACUGACAAGUCCUGAAUAGGACGAAACGUUUGUAUUGGAU
Molecule: non-coding RNA, 45 nt
Organism: Schistosoma mattheei
Lineage: Eukaryota; Metazoa; Platyhelminthes; Trematoda; Strigeidida; Schistosomatidae
Source: Rfam